Molecule: non-coding RNA, 990 nt
Organism: Sus scrofa (pig)
Lineage: Eukaryota; Metazoa; Chordata; Mammalia; Artiodactyla; Suidae
Source: RefSeq, a predicted model, not a curated record
CACCAGCCUGAGCCCAGGAUAAAAGGACCCUGCUCCGUUCUUCCUCACGCCACUUGAAUCCCGGAGGCCUAGAAUAGCCCGGAGAGACAGUUUCUCUUCCGUCUAAGGAAAAUGUCCCAGCAGCAGCAGCAGCAACAAUGCAAAGUCCCCCCGCAGCCCCCUCCCCAGGUCCCUGUGCCUUGUCCUCCCCAGGUCCCUGGGCCCUGCCCUCCCAAUCCGUGUACCCCACCUCCUCCCAGCCAGCAGAAGUGUCCCCCAGUUAAGUGUCCCCCCCACCAGCAGGAAUACCUGCCGAAGCAGAAGUGACAUCUCGGAAGCCACCCUCCACCGCCUGAUUAUGAAAACACUGCAUCCCCUUGCCCCACGCCAUCCCCUCACUUCCAGCAACAGCAAGGAACACAAACAGCUUAGAAGAUGCUGCCUCUCUUCAGAUUCAAGGAGAAAGAUGCCAUCAUCAGAGUAUAUUGGGUUUUCCUUUCCAAAUCAGUAACUCCUCCCAGCUCAUCUCCCAGGAGACGGCAUGAUACCAUGUUCUCAAACUCUUCCCUAGAAGCACCACCCAUUCUUGUCCUUCUCCGUCAAGGCUGUGGUCAAGACGAGGCCAGACUCUCCACCAGCUGUCUCUUCUACCACACUGCCUCCUGCUGAUUAUACAAGGUCACUACAAGGACACAAAUAAUUCUGGCUGAGCAAUCUGCCUCCCUGGGAAGCAACAACUUCAUAAACUUUACAAAGGAGCAAAUGUGGCCGAAAAAAGAACACGAAAAAAACUGCUUAAACCAAGUGAAGUUCCUCCAGACUUCUUCAGAGCACAAUUCCACACUCCUUGGUGAAGGCGAUGAGGUCUCUGUAUUUCCUCCCCAAUCAUCCCCACGAUCCCUAGCAAAGCUCACCCUGCCUGCUUGUCUCUGAGCCCCAGCCAGUUAAAAGUAUCCCAGGCUCUUUCAUGUCCCUUCCCCCAUGCUUCUCAAUAAAAUUCUUUCCCCCUGA